AGAGUUUGAUCCGGGCUCAGGAUGAACGCUAGCUACAGGCUUAACACAUGCAAGUCGAGGGGUAACAUUGGCUGAGCUUGCUCAGCCAGAUGACGACCGGCGCACGGGUGAGUAACGCGUAUCCAACCUUCCCCAUAGUAGGGAAUAGCCCGGCGAAAGUCGGAUUAAUGCCCUAUGUUGUAUUAUGAGGACAUCUGAGUAAUACCAAAGAUUCAUCGCUAUGGGAUGGGGAUGCGUCUGAUUAGGUAGUAGGCGGGGUAACGGCCCACCUAGCCGACGAUCAGUAGGGGUUCUGAGAGGAAGGUCCCCCACAUUGGUACUGAGACACGGACCAAACUCC
RNAcentral lists this ribosomal RNA (340 nucleotides) under uncultured Prevotella sp. RNAcentral's name for it is "bacterial SSU rRNA". It matches the Rfam family "Bacterial small subunit ribosomal RNA", at positions 8 to 339 of the family's 1533-position model. The record is from RNAcentral. Lineage: Bacteria; Pseudomonadati; Bacteroidota; Bacteroidia; Bacteroidales; Prevotellaceae.